GGGGGUGUAGCUCAGUGGCAGAGCAUUUGACUGCAGAUCGACAGGUCCCCGGUUCAAAUCCGGGUGCCCCCU
This is a non-coding RNA of Nematolebias whitei (Rio pearlfish), 72 nucleotides long. The record is from the annotation of a RefSeq genome assembly. Lineage: Eukaryota; Metazoa; Chordata; Actinopteri; Cyprinodontiformes; Rivulidae.